This 256-nucleotide ribosomal RNA is filed under the name uncultured bacterium. Its description in RNAcentral is "partial 16S ribosomal RNA". It matches the Rfam family "Bacterial small subunit ribosomal RNA", at positions 524 to 776 of the family's 1533-position model. The record is from RNAcentral.
UACGGAGGGUGCGAGCGUUGUCCGGAAUCACUGGGCGUAAAGGGCGCGUAGGCGGCCUGAUAAGUAGGGGGGUGAAAUCCUGCGGCUUAACCGCAGGGCUGCCUUCUAAACUGUCAGGCUAGAGCACAGUAGAGGCAGGUGGAAUUCACGGUGUAGCAGUGAAAUGCGUAGAUAUCGUGAGGAAGACCAGUGGCGAAGGCGGGGUCUCUGGACAGUUCCUGACACUGAGGCACGAAGGCCAGGGGGAGCAAAUGGG